GGGAGCCCCACUUACUGCGCCGCGGUGGGGACGCGCCUGGGGAGCGCCCCGGCUGGGCGCAGCUCCUGCAACCGGGCUGCGGCGAGUCAGGUCGAGACGCGGCUCAUCGCAGGUGAUAGAAGAUAUGUACAGCUGACACAGGAGAGCCUCACUAUCCCCAGGACAAGCCUGGAGAGACUUCUGCAAAUGCCUGAUGGUAAGGGCGACCUAGGCCUUUGAGACUGGAAAUACAAAAUAGCAAGAAAGGAGAGUCACAGAAGUUUUAAUUCUGCACAGAGUAAAAUUGAAGUUCUAAUGCAAUGUUACAAUUCACAGCAACUACCGGAAGCUGUUUCAGUAAUAAGUACAGCAUGGGCAGUCAUUAUCUGGAAUGCUGAGAAACGCACAGGGGCAGCUGGUAACUUUGAGGACAGACUGUCACAGCGGAACAAAGAAGGUGACUUCAGUGAAUUAUUGACAUCAUAGUAAAUGGAAAUAAAGCUGAAAAUCUGCACGAUCCAUACAGAGGUUAAAAUAUUCAGGGUAGAACUGAUCAGCAAAAUUAACAUGGAAAUAAAGCACAUAGCAUAUUUAGUAAAAAGGAAGAAAAAUAAAACGAAUCAGAUAACAAUGAUGUUUUAUUUCAUAACAAAAACUAAUGAAUUUUUUCAUGUGAUCAUUAGCGGUUUGUUCUAAAGACAUUUUUCCAGUAUAUGCUGGUGUUCAUACUGAGAGUGUAAUUCUUCUUCAAAUUAAGAUUAGUUAUUAGAGAAAAAACAAAGUUUGUAAUGAAUUAAGGACAUUGUUUUUGUGUAUUUGUUUACACUGGGCAGCAUUUUACUCCAUACGUUGUACACUGACUGUAGUGGGAUUUCUGCUGUAUUAAAUGACACUUAGUACUAGCAGGUAUAUUAGAGUCUAAAUGUGUACAUACUACAAUCUCCAUUAAAUAGUUUUAACUAGUGAAAACUAUAUGGAUCUUACUUCUUAUCCCUCAUUUUUUAUCCAUUUCUCCAUCAUGUUUUGACUAAGCCUUAUCAAUGGUAUAUUGAGCAGCAGAUACAGUUUACUGUAUUCCUAUUCUCUUCUCAGAGGGAGAGUUGUUUACAUUUUACAGUGCUUGGUUUUGUAGGAUUUCUCCCAGGAAGAAUUCAGGGAUUUAAGAGAGAAAUAAACAAACUGAAACAUUUUUCCUAGAAAAUUUAAGGCUGAAGAGACGUGCUUUACAUCUGACAUGCAAAUUGCUAAACUUGCAAUGAUUAUUAUUUUCUGUAAAAAUCAUUUCACACUCUUUGGAAUGACCUACAAAAAAUUCCCUCCUCUAUAGAAAUACCCUACCCUUCUGUGAUAAGUUGGACUCUUGUGCUGAUACAUGCAUGAGAGCCUUGUAUUGAACAACAAACCUCAUUUACAACUCUUUGAUACAAGUUAGAUCUUUUUGAAUUGAAAGGUGCUAUUUUAAUAAAGUGUCUGAAGUGUUCCAUUCCUUUAAUUGAUUUCACCUACUUCAUGUGUCAUGUAAUUUAAUGAACUGCUAAACUUACUGAUAACAUUUCAGUAACAACAAUGAAAAUAAUAAACCAUUUACUUUCUCAUAAUGGAAAAAUAUUUUCAAAGGAAUCAGAAAUACAUGGUAAAGGUGAAAAGGACAAUAAAAAUAAUUUUAAUGAUACUGUCGCAUGAAAACCAGAACUUUUAAAUCCUCAUACGUCCUUGAGCAUUGCUCAGAAAAAAAAAAAAAGACUGCUCAACUAGUUUAUACAAUAACUCUUUAUAUAAUUAAAAUAGAGUCACCUACAGGGAGAAGCCAUACCAAAACAGCAUUAGAGUUGCAAAGUCAGGUGCUUAAAUGUGAGGAAAGUAAAAAUAAAAGCUCCCUGUGCAAAUUUGAUUCUGCCUUUUUUUAUGCAUACACAUUAUCAGACAGCUUUCAAUUACAUGUUUAUAUAGGCUUUUCCCUCUUUGGGAAAUCCUGCCUUACUCAAUAUUCUUUUUGUCUUCUUCUUUCAAUAUUUGAUAUCAGAUCUUAUUCAGCAUCUAAAAUGUAAGUCCUGCAUCGAAUAUAAAAUUAUCUAUUAUCUUCAUGGAUGGUUGUGCUGUGCUCUCACCAUAGCAUGUGAGUACUUCAUAAAAUUAGCUAAUCUAUGGUUUCCUACAAAAUUAAGUGCCAUUACUAUCCUCAUUUUGUAACUGGGAAAUUGAGACACACAAAGAUUAAGGUCAGAAUUGUCAAAAGCAUCCUCUAAUUUUGGAUGCCCAGCUUGUGAUGUCUGAUGCUUCAUUUUCAGAGUACUUAAUACUUUUAUCACACUUUUUAUCUUCAAAGAGCAGCUUUAAUUAACUUAAAGUGCAUCAACUUUAAGAAUGGUAUUUUACUGUGUCUCUGUCCAGGGACUUAAAAAAUGGAUUUAUGGCUCUGCAUUUGAGAGAUGAGGUAUGCUGAAGGUCACAAAUACGUGUUGACAGAAGAGGAAAGUGGUGCUUCAGUUUGUUCCAUGCUUUGGAAGGGAAUAUGCUCUGAUUGUUUUGGGCAUACAUUUGCUGGUAUGGGAUAGUUACAGAGAUCCUAAGCUAGUGCCACUUGAGCUGAAAUGUGCACAUCGUGCUAUAACAUCAGCAAAUAUAAGCACAGAUCCUGAAAGUGGUAUCUUUACAUCAGCAUGGUGCCACAUCUGCAGUAACAAGCCCUGACUUUUGGAUGGACUAAUUAACUCAUGCGUAGUAAUUUUAAUGGCAUAGUUGCUUUAUUUUGGAGCCAGCUCAAUUGUCACACUCCACUACAGGAGUAGCUGGCCCGUAGAAGUACCUGUGUCUGCUUUCCCUAGUUGUGACCAGUGCCACCCCUUUCCUUCCGUCUCGUUCCGGCAGGGUCUGUAGUGCUAUCUCCCACUUCCUCAUUGCAAGCUUCUGAGCCCAUUUUCAAUCAAUACCAGAGCUCAGGCCAACCUCUCCCAUUACAAUCAGAAUCUCAGAAGUUUAUCUGAUCUCCGUAUGCUUUAUUCUGUUUCUUGUCUCAGCCGUCCACUAAUGUUUCCUGGCUUCUUGCUCCAGUCAUGUGGAGUGACCGAGUCCAGUCCUCUGCCUGCCUACUCUUUCCCUCUUUCAUCUCUUCUUACUGAUUCCUUCUGACUCUAAAUCAAAUUCCUUCUCCUUCCCUUUCUGAAACAGCCCACUGGCUUCCACUCGGUUUCUUUCUGCUUGACCUGCUAGCUGGCCAGUUGGCAUGUGAAUUGAACGAAAGGAAUUUUAAUUUCUUCUUCUAGCUGCAGCCUCUUCAGAGCGUGCUACUAUGUCUCAGUAAAUCAUAGGGAUGCAUCUUUCUCUGCUAGGCAGUGCAAGAGGAGAGAUAGGAAGGAAAAAAAUAAUCAAUAAGAGGGAUAUCUAAGAUAAAAGAUUCUAGCCAAACAAUUAACAUUUGUCAAAGUUACAAGCAACAGAAAUCAGGGUCUUUUCAGGGGAGAUGCCAGUCAACAAUGUCUCUAUAAGACCUCUAAUGAAGACUUCAAAAUCACAGUGUUUGGGCAACUUACUCAAUCACAAUGUCCCAUAUUUAUGUCCUUUAUUUUUUAUGUUGAAGACAGCAGCAGAGAAAACAGAACCUGUGCAUAGGCUACACAAGAGAGUUCUUCCCCAGACAGGCUGCAAACUAACCAUGAAAAAGAUGCCUGAAAAUUCUCAAUGUAUCAAAAUGAAGUUCCAUGAAUAACAGAACUAAAGACUUGUAUUUUUUAGUGGAUUUGUGUCCCAUGUGAUGCUCCAUUUUACACAGUAAUCUCAGCUGCUUUCUCAAUGCCUCAUGCCUCAAGUUUUUCUCCCAUACCCUGCACACUGUCGGGACAAGACCAGCAAGACCAUGUGCUCCUUUUGACUGACUGGCCAGGCCAUUCAGGCAGGCCAAACACAGCACACUCAAGGCUUUGGCUGAGGAGGACCAUUAACACAGGUUCCUCUUCCCUGCCCAGAAACCAGUUUUCAUGAAAUUCAUACUAAUUUAAUAAGGUGGAUUUGGCAAGUUUCUGUGCAGUUGACCAGUGAAUUAAAAGUAAUGUAGGAGCAGGGAGGGGAGGAGGACAACGGACAGCAAACAAUAAUCGCAGACAGAACAGUCCUAAAGAAAACUAUAUUCAAAAAAUACUUGGGAUUAAAACUAGAUCACUGAAGGAAAUAAGAAAAAGCUUUCCAUGAAAUUAGAUUUUCAAUAGUUAUGACCAAGUUUCCACCUUUUAGGAGAUCAUUCCCAAAGUGUCGGCCUUUAGACUAUAGCUUAAUUUCUGCAAAGUAUGUGCUGGCAUCUGUGUUUAUAGUAGUAAAGUGUAGUCACACAAAGGAGUGGGAAAUUUGCUAAUGAAAUGGGAAAAAAGCCAAGAAGAUGUCUCAAUCCUUUUCUAACUUAGAGCAGAGCAGUGUAUCAGGGAAUUCCUGCUAAGGAAAUGGGGUAAAUGGGGUAAGUGGAGAAUCCUUUCUGAAUAAAUUAGUAAAGAGCUUAAUAACAAUGCCUACAUUUUAAUGUUUUUGCAGCCUUAAAUGGAAACCAAAGUAACUGAUCUGAAAGAUGAUGAUCUGUUGAUAACUACUGCCCCAACUUGCAUCCACUCUAAACUUAAAUUGAAACAGACUUCCUUAAUUAUGUUAGCACCUGAACAGUAUCAAUUAGUUUGAGCUGUAAAAACCUUACUGCUCUGAAAGACAUUCAUACCUUCGCAGCUUUUAUGAUUUGCCUGGAAGCAGUCUUCUGUUUGGCAAGUUUAUUCACAGAAAAGCUGUUACUGCAAGGAAAAGUGAUAGCAACAUAUUUUUGUAAUUGAAAACUUCACCAAGGAAGAACUUCUCUCCCUCCCUCUUCCUCUCCCUCUCUCUCUCUCUCCCUCUCUCCCUCUCCCUCUCCCUUCCCUCUCAAAUGAAUGCAGGCUUGAGGGAAAGUAUUUGCACUCAGCUACCAAGAUUUUUAUUUCCUCUCAAGAAAGAGUUUCUGUAAAAAGCCCUAUGUCUUCCUACUAUGGUACUUUAAAAAACUUUAUCAGCUUUGGGGGUUUUCAGUUUUGCUUUCCUUGCAUUUAUUUUUCUAAGAAUGUUAUUUGUUCUUCAAAUAACACCUUCUCCAAAAUAACACUGACUACAUGGUGCUGUUGGCAACGAGCCAAGAUAGGGGGGCUCUACUGAAGCAUACCACCUCAAAGUCCAUGGGAAGGACUUUGUUGUCUGCUUUCCAGGAUUGCUCUUCUCUGAACCCAUUACCACAUCCCUUUUUGGAGUACAGCUUGUUUUUCCUUGUGUGGAAAGCUGCCACUGUUGCAUGGUUUUGGGAAAGAUGAAACCAAGCUUAGGCUCUUCUUUACCUCUUUCUACAUCUCAAUUUAAGGUCCAUGCUGCUAGACUGUAUUAAUAAUAGAGUAGCUCCAAUGUACCCUAAAGUUAACUGCUGUGUUUCUGUUUGACCUAAUGGAGGCUGUGCAAGAUUGGUUCCUGUGCCCCUCUCCCUGUGCUCCCGCAUACAGAUGUGCCUGACCCAUAGGAAAGGAUCACUAUGUGGGGGGCAUAAGUGAAUGAUACUUUUCCCACAAAUAUCCUGUGGUAUCUUUCCUUUUCUAUGUUUCUACACAAUGAGUCACUAAGCCUGUGCACUGAUAUGUAAUUGGCCUUUAGUGCACUCCUCUGCGGAGUCCUGUAGGAUUGCUUUCAUCAUUGCUAUGAUUCAGUGUGAAGGUAACCCCCCCCUAAAACUGGUGAGAAACAGUGGUAUUAUUAGCAUGCCAAUGCUCAGUUUGAGUUGUUGCACAAUAUGGGUGUUUUUUCUCUCUGUCACUGCUAAGGAUUUGUCCAAGCUUGGUCCCAGCUUUAGUUCAAUGUCCAGUGCAGGAAAGAUUAAUGAAAGGAAAUGGCUGACUACAUAUUACUAUGUACAGUUAUUUCUGAGAUCUUGUGCAAAAUGCCUGAAGAAUUCUGCAUGUUUAGUGAGUGCUCACUAUUGAGCAGCUAUGUGUUAUGGAAGUUUAUCACAUUUGUAGCAUGGAAAAUGUUUUCUCUCUGUCUUGACUCUUUGCAUGUAUAAGUACAAGCAUGGAAAUCUCACUUCUCCACCUGAAUCUUUUAGAGCCGCUAGAAUCUUGAUGCGUUGUCAGGGUCUGAUAUACUCAUUGUGUCCAGGAUGUUGACAGAUGUGACAUGCUGGAGCUUGGAAUUUGUUCCUGGAAUACCAGGUUGUUGGAAUUCAGCAUCGUUCUGUUCCUGAUCAUUUUGCCCAAUAAUGGGAAUUCAAAGACAAGACAGAGCUUGGAAAAAUACUUUAAGUCACUAGAACUACCUCUGUGCUGCUCACUGUACUGAUUCGUGGAGAACUGGGCUGAUGGUUACAGUCUGAGCCUUUUGACAGGACUUGGAUAAAAUGAUUAGGAUGGAAUUUUUAUUUGAAUAAUUCCGUCCCUGUGUAAAUAUCUGUAACUUCCUACACUUGGGUCUGGAUUAUAGGAUAUAUUGUUUCACUGGUUUGUGUAAUAAAAAUAGAUUUUUACAGAUCUAUAGAUAUACAACUCCAUUCUAUUUUUGAUAAUUGCAUAAUUCAUUAGUAGCAGCUGGUGAUCUCAGUCAAAGAGAGGGAGUAAACAACUCUGAGUCUGUGGCAGUAGAAAACAGUCACUAAGACUUUGACCAUUAUUGGAAUAGUUUUUUUCCCAUUGUGAACUGAACUCCUGGAGAAUUCUGAAGUUUUGGAAAUAGCGAGAAUUCCCAGGUAUCUCCUCUCAAUGCACAUAGAAAGGACUGGCUUUUUAUCCCACUUCAGGCUGAUAUUUUGAUUUACACCAGAACUGGUAAAAGUUACAAAGCUUGACUUAUUGUAGAAAUGUUUUAUAGCGUUCCUUCAGAGAUCUAUUUGUGAUGAUUUUGGAAUGCUGAUUAGUUGUUAUUUUGAAAAUACAAAAUUCUGAGUUACGUUGAUUGACUGAUUACUGUGAUCUUUUUGUUUGCUCAGUUCUUAACAAGGCCACAGAGAAAUAAUGUUACCUGCCCAAACAAGAUGAAUGUUCUUAUUAACUUCAGAUGAAGUCAACAUAAAUAAGGCCUGUUCUUUAGAGUAGAGUUUUAUGAAACUGUGUUCUAAUUGGCUGUGAUAGCAUAGUAAUGAAAAAACAAUACGUAAAGUUUGAUAAUAGAUCAAAUGCUGUAAGGAAUUUAAUGUAUAUAUUCACCAUAUGUCAUCCUGUCUGCUGCAGCUGGCAUCAAGUCAAAAUAAAAACAUGGAUCUCACCAAAUUUCUGCAUCAGGUCCUGUGGCCUCAUACCCAUUUGUCCUCUGAAAUGUGAUUGUAUACCCCUGUGUGACCCGGGACAAGUCUGUCUUGUUCAGUGGUGUGGUAAAGCAUGUUUCUGGUAUUAAGCAUGGAGAAAUCACAGCCUCGCUUAUUCCCUUACUUGUGCUCUCUGUUGUAAAUACUAACUGGGUUUUAAUUCUGCUUACAAGCUAAGAAACAAGCUGGAAGAAACAUCUCAAGCACAGCAGCAUAUCUAAGCUCAAGGAUUUUUACCAUAGCCUGAAGUGUUUGAAGGGCAAAUAGUACAAAGGUAGUUAGAUGUUUUUAGGAGUUUAGAACCAUUUUUAUAAGUGGUGAUAAAAGUGAUCAAAAGUGUAGUUUGCUGUCUCCUUAAUACAAUCUGAGAAGUCAUGCUGUUUUAGAUAUAAUGGAUCCUUGAGAUUUGUUGCAUCUACAAAGGCCAAUGUGUGAUCUAUACAAUGAAAGCGUGGGGCUAAAGGAUACUGUGUUUUGUUUCAUUUUUAAUUUGGCAGAAGCUUACAUUGCUUUUAUUGCUGGUAUAAGGCUGAAAUAGUGUUCAGGUAUUGCUAAGAAAUAAAUUUAUUCUGCAAGUGAAACUUGUAUGAAGUAAAGAACAGAGAAAGAAUAUUUCUGGCACAUGAAGUGUUUCCCAGUUUAUUCUGACAUUUGAUAGAAUUGUGUAAAGUUGGCACAGGCUUUAGGUUUUCUCUGAAAUCAGAAGAACUAGCUACCAUUUUCCUUGAACUUUGAAACUACCAUUCAUAUUCCUUAAAUUUUGUGAUUUCAGUAAAAAAAUCUAGAAGACACCCUCCUGGUGACAGGAAAAAAAAAAACUUUAUUAAAUAUUUUUAGACAAAUAAUUUAAUUCACAGCACAUCUGUAAUUUUUAAUGUUAGAGGUCAAGGAGGGGUGUGUGUGCAAGUCAAGGCAUAGAGAUACCUGGCAGCAUUUAAUAAGGUUCCUGUAAUCCAUGAUGGCAAAAGACUAACUAUGUAAAUGGCAUAUGGUUACACAGAAUUCUGUAAUUAAUCCACUAGUCAAACUAGCAUAUUAUCUGACUUGGAAUAUUAGCUGAUAUCUUUUGAGGACCUCAAACAAAACUUAUCUGACAUACUAGUCUGGGCAGCAAUGUCAACUCAUUCCCAUUGCAAUUAGGGAGUCAUAUAAUAUAAAUUAUUGCUGUUUUGUUUCCCAAUAAAUAGGGAUUAGCAAUUUCAGUCUAGAGCCUAUAAAGAUGCCUUAAUGCCUUCUCUGCUUCUUAUUUUUCCGUGAAGCUUAAGUUCUGAUUCGGAGGCUUCAGUCUCAGCAGUGCCCGUCACUCUUGCACCAAGAACCCUGUUGGUUAGUUCACCAAGCUCAUGGGCAUGUUCAUUUCUGAAUUAGUUUUACUUCCUCUAAAGGUAGGCCUGCGAUGCACAGACUUUGAAGGCUCACUGCAUGCUCUGAAGACAUACCUAAGCUAGUUUAACACCAACUAGAAUGGUAUUGGCACUCAGGUGGUAGCAAUGUAGUGCGGCAGUAUGAAGCUAUCUGUUGGCUGACUUCGAAAAUAUUUAUCUGGCUUUCCUGGUGUUCAGAUAUGUCUACACCAUCUGCAGGCACACCUGUAACUGCAGUAUGAACAUGUGCUCAAGCCAAAAUUCUCUCCCACAGCCACUCCUGUCAGGGAGGCAAUGGGAUACCAAUUCUAUCUAAUACCGACUAGUAGGACCUUUCACUCAGGUAACAUUGCAAAAAAUAGACAGGAAAAUGCCCUAGAGAGAAUAAUUGUGUUUUCAUCUAUUCAGCAUAUAAAGAACAUCAAUAGAAGUCCCUCUCAGGAGUUGUAACAAAAUGGAGAUUGGUAGUGGGACAGAGAAGACGCAGAGUCACUAAUUUUAUUACAAAAAUUAUUAAAAAGGAGAGGGAAUGUUAUGGGUCAUGAGCCUUUAACACUGAAAAAUGAACAAACUCAGAUCAACUUUAUACAUUACCUUCUAGUCAGCAAAUCAUUUCAGUAAAAUUGUCCAUUAACCAAUUAAACAGUAACAAUUAUAAUAAUGGCUUCUGGGACAUAAUGCAUAACAUUUAACAUUUUAUGAAACAUUGUAAAAGCUAUUAUGCUCAGAAAAACAAAUUCAACUUAAAAAAAUAGAAACACUAGAGUAUUCAACUGCCAAUAAAUUUGAGAAAUGCAGAAUUGUAUAGUAGUUCCAAAAAAACCCUAGAACUAGCCUCUCUCAUACCAAUAAGUCGUAUUGAACUUUUGACUCAUAAGCAAAAUACACAGAAAGUAAAAAUUGCUGAAUUCCAACAGUAGGUGAUCCUCAUCAAAUUCAUGGGUUUCACGAUGCUGGCACGUAAGAGAGAACAUUAUAAUAGUGUGGAAAAGUGAACAUUGUCUAGCUAUGGACGAUAUCAUUUUGUUUAUUAGACUUUGCUGCAGCUUUUAAUCCACAUGAUUUCAGAUACUAACCCAGCAACAUAUUACUUGAACAAGAUGAUGCAAUGUUAGCCAAAUCUUCCAACAGAGCACAGAGAAGCGAUGGAUAAUAGACAGACAAAAUACUACUUAAAGAAACCUGUAAACUUCCCUCCUUCAAAAUUUACAUGAAACCUGUUGGACAUGAAGGAUGACAAUGUAAGCUGCAGUGUGAAUGGUUUUCAGAUGUAUUUGUCAUUUUUUAGUGGUGUAACCACUGCCGCUAAAGAGAUACCGCAAAGACUUCAAGAAAUAAUUUUCUUGAAGAGGAGCAACUGUCAGAAUCUUAAAUUGUCCAUAUUCCCUUUUGAACUUAUAAUAAGGAGGUUUUUAUGGGUGUUAUGAUAGAAGCACUACUUCCUGCCUUCUAGUGCUAAGCUCUUCACUGUGGUCAGUCCAAUUUUGCUGUUUCUGGAAUAGACAUCUUAUGUUCCUGCAUCUCUUAGGUGCUUAGAGAUAAUCUUAUCUGCCAUGUAUGUCUUCUUGAUGUCCAAGUAGAUAUUCUGGACAUAUUCAAAGCUUCAAAAUGAACAGUGAGGCUUUCCAUAUAAACCAGUGUCUGACAUAGAUUAAAGUAAGGGUCCUUUUGCUCCUGCAAUCAUUCCUCUCAGUGUCUUCUGCUACUGCAGUUCUUACUGUUAAAGAGAACUUAUCCACCAGCACUUCUAAGCAUGCUGAACUGCUUGUAAAAAUCUGAUAUGUGCUGAGAAGAAGGAGAACAGAUGUGUGAUGUCUCCUUUGCCAUUGGAGGCAGGGUAACAGAGUCAAAGUACAUAAUGAAGGGGAGUGGAAAACUUGACAGUGCUUGCAAUCAGUGAUAGGCACCUCCCUGUAAUUGCUAGAAAAGCCCUAGAGCUGGGGAAGAUAUCAUAGCAACAGAACAUAAUGCUGCUAUCUUUAAAGUGCUUGUUUGCAGUGCAGUAAAGACAUGAACUAGAUUGACUACAUAUUAAGCCAUAUCUGUGGCAAAAAGUCCGGAAGAGGACAAAAGCACAGUAAGAGUGGAAAAGACUAACCAUCUGCCCUCACCUGCUCUGGGAAGAAAAGGAUUGCAGCCCUGAGAAGCACAUACCUGUAAGGGCUUCCUGAUGCAGUGCUUUUUCCCAGCACUGCUUUUUCUCCUCUCCUGCUUUCCCCAUAGCAUAGGCAACCAGAGCAGCCAGCUGUCCUGACCAGACUGUGGCAAAGGCUCUGUGUUCAGGGCUUCAGCAGCAGACAGGAGUUGCCAUAUUGCGAGCAUGAAAGACUCCCUCUAUGUCCUGCUCUUUGCAGUACAUGUUCUCAUCUUCCUCAUCAGCUACAGAGGGAUUUGUAGCUGAUCAGGAAUUGUAGGGAAAUCAAGGCUCUCAAUAAAAUUAUAUUGUCUAAGGCAGAGAUGACCAGCUAGUGGUCCAAGGGUCGGACUCAUCCAACAUGAAUCAGCAGGCCAGUGACAUUCAGGAUACUGCUGUGUUUGUGUUGCUAGGAGAGAAGUACAAACCUGAGCUGUGUGACAGGAUAUACUAGAUGUGUUAGACACUGUCUGUAUUGAUGAGACCCAUGAAAAACAAGUGGCCCUGAGCGCAGAGGAGUUGGCCAUCCUGACCCAUAAAGCAUGCACUGUAAGACCAGCACUCCUGAAUCUCACCUCUGAAAACAGAGAAAUGAGACUGACUUCACUUGAUUUGUUCCAGAUUUACUAUGUUGUAAAUAUAUUCAGAUUUUUGCCUCAAAAGGACAGAUUUUCAUGACCCAUUUUAUCUUCCUCAUUUUGGGCACCAGGAAAUAGAUAUUCUGAAUGAGGUAAGAAUCCUUAGGGAGUGAUGUUACCUCUUCAUUCAAUCACAUCCUGUAUGUGUGCAUAUGAUGGGUCAGAAUAAAAUUUUUCAAUGCAAGAUCACCUUGCUGCAAACAGCAUGUGCUCUAAUAGUAAGAAUGGAAGUCAAAGAGCUGUAAGCAUCUGAUGAAAUGUUUUCAGGAUUAAAAUGUGUAGGCAGUUUAGUUAUGGCUAUCACUCCCUCUUUUAGCUAUUACAUCUACAUGUACAUUUGUCUCUCUGCUUAGAAGACUGUGUGCACCCACAGGGACGUGUGUCUGUGUUUACAACCACCACACAUUUAUAUAAGCUUUCAAAUCCAUCCUCAGAUUUUACUACACAUCCACAAAGCAAGAAUGGUGGGUUCUUGCUCAAGGCCCCUUCUUUCAAUAGUUGACUUGUACCACCUUCAAAUCCUGAAACCAUCUGUCAUGUUGCAUCUCAAAUAUCUCAAAGCCCACGUUUCUUUCCUACUAGUAUUCUGCCACCAGUUAGCCUUGGGGGCAAGAUAGGACUGAUAAUUAAAGCUGAUAAAUAAUUGAAACAAAAAGAAGACCCCUCACCCAAAUAUUAACAUCUGCAACCAUGAGUAUACAUUAAAGCAAUAUCUCCCAAACAUUGCUGCCUGACUUUAUCACCUCAGUUUUUUCACCACCCAGAGAUCUCACAGGAUGACACUUUCAUGUGCUGAGUUAUACCAGGUACCAUCAGUGCACUGUUAUUUAUUUUCUUAUUGGUAGGUAGGAUCUUAGUCACAGGCCUACCACUAGACAGGGAGUAAAGUGGGAAACAUGCACAAAGAGUUCUCAACCUGUAGCUAUUUACAUAUCAAGCUUUAGCAGUGUGCAUAGCCCCAUUAUUAAUCAGUGUGAUGACUCAUGGUAAUAAGUUCAGUGUGUACAUGAGUCGCUCCCCCAAUGAGGGUUGUAUCUGUUUUAGACUGGAAGUUAAUUGGACAUGGUUUUUACCUUCUUUUAUGUUUGUGAAAUAGAGUGCAUAUGUCUAUGGGGCUGUCAUGCAGCCUAAGAGUUACCUGUUUGUGGAAAGAAGGUGUGGGUGAGUUUUGUACACACUAGGGUGUGUUUUUAAUUUUGUAAGUGUCUGUGUAGAGUUUUGCAUAUCUCAUCACCUCACCCUUCCUUUUAUCUUCCUUCUCUUGUUCUUUUUCUUCUUCCCAGUCCUUUCAUUUUCCUGCUUCUUUUAUCUGCUUUGCUUCCUUCCUUCUGUCCUGCCGGAACAUCAUCUGCUUUCAUCUGUCAGACCCUCUUCUCACUCACUCUGCACUCUUCUCCUGAACACGUAUCUCCAAGCUAACUCUCUUCUUUAUAAUCCACAUUAAUAAUCCCACAUCCGUACUUACUUUGGUCUUUAAUCCUGUGUUUUGGCUUGCUGUAUUAAGGCUGUUGGCUCUUUUGGGAAGGGAAAAUGCCUUAUCUGCUAGUACAGUACUGUGCACAAUUCCCUGCAAAUACUUUGAAACAACAAAAAAAUGAUCUUGCACAGAUCUUUUUUUUAUCCAGUACUUGUCUGUCCUGUUCCAUAACAUAAUAUAACCUGAACUCAGGUAAUUAUUUUUAAAACCAACUGUUACCCAAGAAGAAACUACUCAGACAUUAGCUGGUGAAGACAAUUCUUUAUAAUAUCCAACAAAAAUACUGUAUUUCUGUUAAAAAUAACUAUGAGCUUGGUUAUUUCUUCCUGAAAUAAUCUCCUAAUUGCAUUCUUCAUAGAGAAAAACCCAGUGUGCCCACUAUGAACAGAGUGUAUUAAUCUCAUCUAUGGGAGGUAAUGAGAGAUAGUAUCCAGACUUUUGUGAUUUGAUUGUGACAGUACAGUCACUUGUCUUGUAUGGCAAGAAUGACACAAAAUGAAUAAUUGGAAAACUAUAAUCUUUUCUUCAUAUUGGUUUGGCAGUCUCCAGGCUAUAAUCAUCUUCAAAAGGUACUACUAAUAAAUGAACAUUCAGAGUUACUUUUGGCCUUUUUAAUGUGCUCAGGUACCUGACAAGUGAGCCAGUUGGCAUAUUUUUGCAAUAUUUCAGGUAGGUUAGGCCUGUCAAGUUUAAUACUAGUCAGAUAUUACUUCAAUUCAUAUUCUGACUAGUUCUGAAAUUUAGGAUCAUUUUUCUCAAUAUGUUUGCCUUGUCUUAAAAGCUUCAUAUCCAUCUCAAUUUAAAAACAGAGGAGAAAUAUGAACUUAGAGAACUCUCCUAAUAGUCUAAAACUUUAGCUAUAUGACAGAACAUAGGCAAUGAUUUAUAAAUGAAGAUGUUACAAAUUGUGAUCAAUAAUAACCCCCCACUCUCCAAAAAAUAACAUAAAAUCCUCACAUUUACAGUAGACCUACUUGAAUGACUUCAGUUGAAUUUUCAACAUAGUUUUUCAAAAUAAGUAAUAUUUUCUGGAAAAAUGUCAAUAUUUUGAUGUUUCACUAAGAACAAUAAUUUUUUUUCAGAUCUUAGCAGCUAAAAUCUGCCUUUUCUCACCCUUCCCUCUGUUCCAACUUGGGGCUUUAAUCUUUCAGCAGAAAUGAAUUCUUGAACAAAAUUCCAACAGUUUUUUUUUAAUUUUUGUCUAAUUUUGUAAUCAACAGAAGUUUUUUAUUUCUGCUCUGCUGAACAGAGACAAAAGAGAAAGAAAAAUGUCAGGAAAAUCAUGUUACUAUACAGACAGAUGACAUAGUUGUGUAUAUAAUUGCUGUCAGCUCAAUCUGAUCUUUAAGUUUCUUUCUUGAAUAGACAUCCCUGGUAUCUCUGAGAUCAGACUCAGCUGUUAAAUGAAGCUUCUUUAUCUCCCGUGGCAGUGUGAAAAUGUAAAUAUGGAUAUGAAAUAUGAGAGCAUGAAAAUAAAACUGGAUUCUACCACCUUCUACUAUACAAUCUCUUUGAUGGAUCUGGUCCCCUUUUCUGGGGAAACCUGCAAUGGUGCUAAUCCUAUAUGUCUUUUUUAGACUAUAGAGAGGUCGCUUUCACUGAAAAGCCCCACAUAUAUGUGCUGCCUGACUUUUCUUACUCAAACAGCAGCAAAUAGUAGUGAAGGUUAGCCAUCUUCCUCCCCUUUCCAUCCCAAAGUUUGAACGUGCAAUUCAUUUUUUCUUUCUCACUUCUGGCCUCGAGUAGGAAGUCUCCAGAGACCACAGAAAUCCAUAAAAUGGCUGAAGAGUCCUCAUCAUUUGAGGAAAGCCCUAGGCAAUUACAAUGUUUGAGGUAGGAAUGCAAAUAUGGAAGGAACCAAGCAUGAUGAAAAGAUGUUUCAACUUGCCACGUGUUAUAAUGGAUGCCACAAAACUUUGGGUGGCUCUGAUACUUAGCUUUAAUGAGAAUUCACCUUUCGUUUGUACUGAAUACACAAUACUAUUAAUUGAAGACCGUGAAGACCUGGUGUUUUUUCAACGUGUAGAAUUCUUGUGAAGAAUAUGAAAUUAUUUUAGAGAAAGAAAAACAGUCAAGAAGAAUCUGCAUGAUACAAACAGAUUUAUUUGUGAUGAACAACAAACUGCUGCUAAAAAACCAGACUCCUGCUAAAAAUGGUAAUUAAAAAUGGUCUGCUAGCUCUGACUUCUGUGGCUGUUCAGCUGGGGUUGUCUGAUUUAUAUACUACACUAGCCCUUCAAACAGCUGCUUGUAGUAGACUGAAUCACUAGGGGAGAUUACACCUGUCACUUGCCCAGUACCCCUGGGGAUAAGAAGUCAACCAAAGAAGGUGGAAUUUAAGCACAGUCAAGGUUAUUCCUUUCUUUCCCAUUGCCGCAUCUCUACCUGAUUCUGAACGCCACAGACAGACCUGGCUCCAGGCGUCAUGACCAGGCGAGGAGUCUCCCUUGCAGGUACAAGGUAUGGAAAUGAGUGUGCAACUGAGUCUCCUAGACAUCUACAGCAUAAUGUAGACUCCUUCAGCUUGUGUUAGGUACAGGGCAAAGGACCUGACACAGAGCCACUCAUGAGCUGGUGUGUUGAUCCCCUCCCCAGCCAUGCUGAGCAUUCAUUUGAUGUAGAUAGGUGAAGGUUUGGCUAUCAUUCUGAUCUGUCAAGGCAUUUGCCUUUUUUUUUUUUUUUUUGGUGACUGACAUCGUUUUUCAUAUAGCGAUAUGAGUUACUCACUUUUAGUGUCCAUUGGACCCUUUAACAAGAAAUGUCUUCCUUCUUUCCAGAAAACAAGCAAUCAGAAAAUCUCACACGUAAGUCCACAUCAGCAAAUGGGUUCUCAGAGGGUCAGGAUGUUCAGUUCUGCUCUCGCUUACAACCAUCAGAAUGAGCAAUAGCCUUUACUGAUGUGUAAAAUUAGUGUGAAGUAGUACAGAUUAGUGCCAAAAAACGUACAAGCUGAAAGAAAUUAUUAGGUCAUCUUGUCAUCUCCCUGCAGUGCAGAGAGAACCUUACCAUGUAUUUAUCCGUUAAAUGAGAAUGGCUGGUUUUAAACGUGCCAAGGAAUGUAACUUUUCUGCUCCCCCAUAAUAGUAUCCCACAUUUCCAUUCAGGUAGAUUCUCCCACAGAACCUCUAAAUUUCCUUUUCCAUCAUUUUUUCCUGUUUAGCUGUUUUUCCUAUGUUUAAGUUAAAUUAGUCCCUCUUCCUUCAUUUUACUUGUAGAUAUGAAUGCAGCUGAUCUGCAGCCGUGAGGCCGAUCCUAUCUUCCUCACCUGCACUUUGCCUACAUCUCCCAAGUGGCUCAUGUGGGUUGAAUCUGGAGCACAGCCUUGUAGGGACAGAGGGCAAGGGGACGUGUUUGCACAGAAAGAUACAGUUUUUGGGCUAAGGUGCAUCUUGUCUUUGGUCUCAGUGUUGCCAAAAUGUCAGCAGAUAAGUAGGAAGCAAGAGCUCAGGAGAUCCAGUGUCUUGGGACAUCUGACACCAUACUGGUAAAUACACUCUCAAUUUGUAUCUUCUGAGUAUUUUAGUCUCUCUGUCCUGCCCUAUAUCUUACUCUUUCUCAGUAAAAAUAAGCACCCUGCUUCUCUGAACCUUUUCUCGUUAAUGAAUCCCUUUCACAAGUGGUGAGAACUUCAGCUGGACUCAACAUUACAGUUGUGGUCUGUGUUGCAAACACAAUUACUAGAAUUCACCGAUCCAGGCAUUGUUCUUUGACACUUCCACUCCCCAGGAAGCCCAACUGAUGCUAAUGGGACUAUUUACGUGGCAACUGCAUGUAUAUUUGUACAGGCGUGAACUGUUUUACAUGGACAAAUUUUACCUGUCGUCUACAACAUAUGUGACUGUUCCCACAAAAUGAAAUGCUGAUGAUGUUUCAAGGGCCUAUGGAACAAGUUCCCAUGUAAGUAUGGUUCACUGUAGGAUGUUCAUAUUUUUCUUGGCAAAAACUACUUUUUAGAAGUCUAAGGCACCAUCUACAAAUUGCUGCUUUGAACAAAGUCACAACAGGUAUCUAAAUAGCAAGGGGGACAUUCUUUCUUCUUCCCUUUUGUCCCUGUUUCAUCUUCCACUUUUUUUUUAUCUCUCCAGACUCAUUUCCUAACGGGAUUUCCCAUUCUAGCAAUGUGUCUGCCAAAUGUGCGAUGUGUGUGACACCAGGAAAGAGAGUUUCCUGUUUCCUUUGAUAUACACCUGGCUUUGGUGGAGAUCUAUAAUGAAGUGUGCAUAUAACUAUUAUUAACACUUAAUAAAGAAACACCUUGAUGCACUGGAAUCUCUGAAAAUUGGUAUGAACAGAUACAAAUACUUUGUAUCCCAGUUUUUCCAAGGCCAAAAUCUGUUUAAAAUCAUCAAAACUGUAAGACCUUAAUACUUUGUUUAUGCUGAUGAAACUAAAUUCUUACAAUGGCUUCUGAGAAUCUCUCUGCACAGAAUCUUACACCCAUGGAUACCUUGCCAUCCCUCCCAAGAUUACUUUUGUGAAUACAAAUAACAAAAAGUUGUAAGUUAUCGAUACUCAUUCUGAUCCUUGGCCAGCAUGGCAAUCCCCGAGGAACAAGAAAAAUAAAAUUUUCUUACUGUUCUCACUUCAGGCGUUGAGUCGGUACAAAUGUGUACCCUGUUCCCCACUGUACAAGGCUUGUCUUCUGGAGGCGAGAAUUACACUGUUCUCCAAGAUGUGUAUCCUGAUGCAGCAUUUGGCCCUCUGGAUCUAGGAACAUGAGCUAAAUCUGUCUGCUGAGAAGAUGUAUGCAAUGCUACUUUGCCAGGCAUCGCUAUAAGAGGCAGUAUGAAGACUUGUUAUUGUGGGGUUCUUCUAGGAACUGGAUUCUAGUUCUUUAUCUGCUUCUUCUGGGAUAUUGGUUGAGACCACAGACUGCAUUUCUGGCAACACUGACUCAACUUGGGAGGAGCUUCAGAGAGUCCCAGCAUAGGUUGACAGAGGGUACGUGCAUGACAAGGAAUCCAUGCUGGAAUCCAUGAAGACCAAGUGCAGAUUGACGUAGAGGGCAGAGGGAGACAAGAAUGGGUUUUGCCCUGCUCACCCACCAGCACUGCCUGAUACGGUAGUGCUUCCCAUUAUAGAGAUAAUCCCUCUCAAAAGCAAAUGUACAUGGGCAGUGACUGAUGGUGGUUCCAAGCACUUAACAGAAAUUGAAGAGCAAGAAAUGAAUUAUAAAAAGGAUACCUGUUUGCAUGUCUAAAAUACCUUCCUCAAAACGUCAGUUCUCAUUUUCAGAAUACAGAAAGAGUUAUAAUGGAGACUGACGAGAGAAAGAUAAUACUGGAGACAGCUAUUGCGUUUGAUGGUGACACUGCAGUUCACAAAAGCUUUAACUCCAAGGAGAUGGAGGCACUCAAUUUUCAGUGGAGUUUCUCCACUGUGGAACAUACUGCCAGAGCUUAAGCUUGUCCUCGAAUCUAAUGGAGCAUUCAGCAAUAGACCACUUUCUGCAAGCACCUUGCUAAUGACAAAGUUGCUUCUGGAAGCAUGCUGUGGGAUACACUGUGCUGUGGAUUAUUUCCUCUUGAGGAAGAGAAGAAAACAAGCAAGUUCCUCUGUUGACAAAAGGAUCCAUUCAUCAAGUUGUCAUAAGGAGACAAUUCUGGUAGCUACACAUUUAUGAAAUACAGAAUAUUCAAAGGAACCUAGGGUAGCGGGUUCCCUUUAAGCUUCUUUGAAAAUCAUACUGUGUUUUUUUCCUCAUGUUAAAUACCUUUGUCAUUAUAUUUUUCAUUAUUUGAACAAAGAGGAUUUCACCUUUUCCACAACUUCAUUUGGAGGUGUUUUUUAAAAUUAUCUCUAUACUGGGUGUUUUACACUGAUCCUGAUAUUUCAUGCUAUUUUCAAGAUUUUUUUUUUGUAUAUUUCAUAUUAUUUUGCAUAUUUAUUUUUAAAAAUAAAAACUCCCUGUUUAAAAAUGCAUUCAGUUCAUACAACUGGUCAUAUUUAAAUUGUCCACAAUGUUGAAACUAUUAUUAUUUUCAGUUCUUUGUCUCAUCUUAAAUUCAUGGGCUUGCUCUAACAAAAUCUUUCAAAAAAUGAUCAAUACAACAGCAGAAUUGUUUUUAUGGAAAAAUGUCUUUUUAUACUUUCUGUGUUUUAAGAAAGUUGUAUUGUCUGUAUAUACUUAUAGAGCAUAACCAGUUUUAUUACAUGAAAUCACCUAUUCCACGCAUGAAUUUAAUUCUUAUGAAAUUUUAGUGGUUUAUCUCAUGGGGGAGAAAGAAAUAACAAGAAGAUUUACAGUCAAAUGCUUGUUGCACUUGGUCUUGUCCAGAAACAUAAAAUGAUAGGCCACAUCCACCUGGGUGCUUUCUUUUCUCAUUUAUCCCAUCGAGUGAAACAAAGUGACAUAUGUGAGCCACACUAAUAAUGUUACGUAAUACAAUAAAGGGGGUAAAUGUGGUGAUUAUCAACAGCAAAUACACAAUAACAAAGCAUAAUUGUACUGAACACCUGAAGGGUUUCUAAAAAGUGACGACUAGGCCUAAUUGCAACCCUGCUGUAACUUGAUUCCUACAGGUUUUCUAACACACUCUGAAACGAGCCUUUUCCCGUCAGGGUGAUGCAGGUCCAGCUCCUAUCUGCUGCAAGUUUUAUUUUAAGUCUUAGGGGAUGAGGUGACUUUCCAGGCAGGUUAUGAAACCCACUCUAAUAUAUUUUCAGCUGUUUCCCUGGUAAUCUUAUAUUUUGGGAGGUUUUGGCUCUGCUUUUUAUUUAAUGUUUUCCAGCUUGUAUGUGUCUAUGUCAGACAAUUUUAAGAAAGCAUAAGAGAAGAGUGCAAAGCCACCUUUAGACAACUGAACAGGUCACCCUGUCCUGCUGUAAAAAUAUAUUUGUCUUUCCAAGACAUGGUGAAAGGGCUUCAGAUGCUUGCUGAGCAAUGCAAUGGUCUAAUCAUGGUUGUGACUGGGCUACUGUUCGAAACAAAGACAUUUUGCAACAAAGAGCUCUGAAGUACUACUGCUAAUAAUAAAGUUUCAUAUUUGGAUCAAACACUAAACUGAGAGCUGGCUGGCUGAGAAAGGACCCUAACAGGAAUAUAUUACAUGUUGAAAUGCUUUUAUUUUUUUUUUUCCUGAGGAAUGAUCUAGGCAAAUAACUGUGUGGAAAGGUCUAUUUUGUUUCAUUUUGUUUGUUGUUUCAGAAUGAUCUCCAGGAUGAUUUGUUUCUAUUACAAGAAAAGAAAACAUAACUUGAGCCCUCUGAAGUCAAAUGAGAAUAUAAAAUAAAGUUUAGUUCUUUCUGGUUUGCGUAUUGGCAAUGACGAUUGAAAUAAUUGUUAACUAGAGUAUAGGGACCUAAUCUGAAUUCCUUUUUGUUUUUAAUGGUAAUUGGAUCAGGCAUUUAGUUAAUGAAUCUCCCAGUGAUGUAUAAGCUAAUGUAGCAUUUGCUGCAUAGCAAUAAAGAGAAUUUUUUGAUACACAGUUAGGAAAAUAGGAAUUUGAAUAUACCCAUUCAGAUGUACAUAGAUUAAAACCUACCUUAUAUGAUCACUUUUUUUGAAUAUUACCAAGCUUUCAGAAAUGUUACUGAAAUUUGCAAUUUUAUUUUUAUCAAUGACUGCAUUUGCUUCAUAGCUUCCCAUUUCCAUUUUGUUCAUUUUGGAGUUAUUGCACCAUUCUGAGUUCAUUUUCUGCUUUUUUUUUCUUGAUAAUCCACAUAAUCAUGCUUUCUUUGAUCUAGCUUCCAUAUAACUAUGCAUUGCUUGAUAUAUCCUUUCUGAUUUAUACUACAUUGUCAAUCAACCAAUAUUUAGAGUUCUUACUUCUACAGCUCAGCUCAGUGCCCUAGACCAGGCCCUGUGAAUCCAAGUCAGUGGUAUCUGUUAGUAUGGAGGAGAUUCUCUCUACUUGCAAGCUGCAUAGCAGCGGCCAACAAGUAAUAUGUACAAUGAAACCAUUGUGUUUUCAUUUCCAUGAUGAGAAAGACCUAACAGGACUUCCCUAAUUGCCUCCUGAUGUCACUGCUGUGGUAUCAAACUCAUCAGCAUGAGAUUACAUAUUUAUUUGUUGUGAAGUCUUCGUGUCUGCAAUGUUACAUCUAUGCUGGGAUGCAGGAGAAAGGCCCAAAUUCUUUGUAAUCCUGGUCCUCAGGCAGCAACAUCUUCACAUUUGGUGUUAUUUCUGUUUCAUCAGGUAAAAAGUCCAGAGCAGAAUAAAAGGAUCCAAUCAGACCAGUUAUAGAUGGUCUGCUGAAAACAAGUAUUUAUCUGUUCUGUAAAUCUGCUGAUUUAAAUCUGGUCCUAACAGCAAGGCUGUGUCUUACUUUGUAGGGAUACUGAUGGUAGCACCUGAGAGAGAUCUUUCAGACAAGCUAGAGAGGUAACUAGAUGAUACUCCCAUAGCAUUUCCAGCACUUGGAUUCACUCAGAAUCAGAAAACAGUGAAUGUUGCUUAAAGACACCUUCUUCCCUGUUCUCCUCGACUACAAGUUCAAUAGCACUUUGGUGGUGUGGGAGGAGGGAGAGACAGAGGAGGUGGGAGAAGAAGACGUAGUCAAUGAACGAUAAUGAAUUAAGAGGUGACUAUAGAACUAAAUAUUUUCACCCUGCAGCUUCAGCACUAUGGAAUGCUGUAGUUCAGUAGGGCUGUCCACUGGUGUAUUCUCCAGGGCUAUGUCAAGUAUGUUUGCUGCACAAAUAUGUAAUUGUCCUUCCUGUACUUUAUUUAACAAAAGCAAUGAACUGAAAUGUCAGUCUAGGAGGCCGUAGCUAGAGAAGUCUGAAAGGAAAGUUGAAGGAGAAUUAAUAGUUUCACAGCUCUCUCUGAGACUUAAUUCCCAACAAUAUUAUAAUAUUUGAAAAAUAAAUAUUCUUUUUUCCUUGUACUACUUAUUUUUAUCUCUAGUCAAAAUUGUCUGUAAUAUAAAAUGGAAUAUUUCAUUGCUUAGUAGAAGAAUAAUUCAUUCUUGCCUGCUAUCUUCACUUUAUGAUUUCUUUGAAGCAAUUUUCCAUCAUUUUACAUCAUUUCUUUAGAAAGAUGCUGGAUAUUGUUUUCUUUUAAUUAUUCAGUUUUUGUUAUUUUUUUCCCACAGUCUUUCUAAUUUCUCUGUUCCAGUUCUUUAAAAAUUAUUUUUCUUUAUUUCACCAACAUUUAUUUUUCUGACUUUCUUAUCUCUUGGUUAUCAUUUUGAUUCUUUAACUAUGUUGCUAGAGAUAGUCUUUUGUUAGUUUUAUCAUGGAUAAUGCAUUUUGUCAAAAUAUGCUUUCAAAUAAAGCCUAAACUGUACAA
Long non-coding RNA from Dromaius novaehollandiae (emu), 22107 nucleotides. RefSeq lists it as uncharacterized. Lineage: Eukaryota; Metazoa; Chordata; Aves; Casuariiformes; Dromaiidae. The record is from RefSeq and is a predicted model, not a curated record. The transcript has 7 exons.